Molecule: ribosomal RNA, 492 nt
Filed under: uncultured bacterium
Lineage: Bacteria
Description: partial 16S ribosomal RNA
Rfam family: Bacterial small subunit ribosomal RNA
Source: RNAcentral
GACGAACGCUGGCGGCGUGCUUAACACAUGCAAGUGGAGCGACGAGCCAGGGCUUGUGCUGGGGCCGCGCCGGGAACGGGUGAGUAAAACAUGGGUAACGCGCCCCGAUGACUGGGACAACCCGGGGAAACACGGGCUCAUACAGGGUGUAGCAGCUCCCGCCAGGGGGGGGUGGUAGGGAAGCUUCGGCCUUCGCAUCGGGACUCGCCGGUGGCCCACUAGCUUGUUGGUGAGGUAACUGCCCACCCAGGCUGGGAUGGGUAGCUGGUCUGGGAGGACGGUAGGCCACCCUGGAACUGAGACACGGCCCAGACUCCUACGGGAGGCAGCAGUGGGGAAUCUUGCGCAAUGCGCGAAAGCGUGACGCAGCAGCGCCGCGUGUGGGAAGACGGCCUUCGGGUUGUAAACCCCUUUCAGUUGGGACGAAGGUCUGUCGCUUAACAGGCGGUCAGACUGACGGUACCUUCACAAGAAGCCCCGGCUAACUACGUG